Non-coding RNA from Paramuricea clavata, 341 nucleotides. Lineage: Eukaryota; Metazoa; Cnidaria; Anthozoa; Malacalcyonacea; Plexauridae. The record is from the annotation of a GenBank genome assembly.
AUACUCUAUUAGGGACUGGUCAUAAUUUAUUAGGGGGGGGGGAGGUGUAAUUCAAAAUUUUAAGGAAUGAUAUUUUGUGACCCUGCUUUGCCAUAACCCGGAAAAAUAAUGCCCCCCCCCUCUCUCUCUUACUCCUGUCAGUAAAAAUGUAACUACCUACUACUAAACUCUGCAUUCAAUAAAUUUUCUAAUUGCACUUUAAAUUUUCUAAUUUUCUAGUUGCACUUUAAAUCAAAUACUAAAAUUUAUAAACCAAGACAUAGUCAUACAAUUUUUUUCAAUGCAACUCAAACAAAAUGUGAGAAGGCAUGUAUAAAACAAUAAAUUCAACUAAAACAGCA